GGAAAAGAAACCAACAGGGAUUACCUCAGUAACGGCGAGUGAAGCGGUAACAGCUCAAAUUUGAAAUCUGGCGCUUUCAGCGUCCGAGUUGUAAUUUGUAGAAGAUGCUUUGGGUGUGGCUCCGGUCUAAGUUCCUUGGAACAGGACGUCAUAGAGGGUGAGAAUCCCGUAUGUGACUGGCUGCCUUCGCCCGUGUAAAGCUCUUUCGACGAGUCGAGUUGUUUGGGAAUGCAGCUCUAAAUGGGAGGUAUAUUUCUUCUAAAGCUAAAUAUUGGCCAGAGACCGAUAGCGCACAAGUAGAGUGAUCGAAAGAUGAAAAGCACUUUGGAAAGAGAGUUAAACAGUACGUGAAAUUGUUGAAAGGGAAGCGCUUGCAACCAGACUUGCCUGCGGUCGAUCAUCCUGGGUUCUCCCUGGUGCACUCGAUCGUGGUCAGGCCAGCAUCGGUUUCGGUGGUGGGAUAAAGGCCUUGGGAAUGUAGCAGUCUUCGGGCUGUGUUAUAGCCCUCGGUGCAAUGCCGCCUACCGGGACCGAGGACCGCGCUUCGGCUAGGAUGCUGGCGUAAUGGUUGUAAGCGACCCGUC
RNAcentral lists this ribosomal RNA (584 nucleotides) under Hymenoscyphus fraxineus. Its description in RNAcentral is "eukaryotic LSU rRNA". It matches the Rfam family "Eukaryotic large subunit ribosomal RNA", at positions 55 to 653 of the family's 3401-position model. The record is from RNAcentral. Lineage: Eukaryota; Fungi; Ascomycota; Leotiomycetes; Helotiales; Helotiaceae.